AAAAUCGACAGCUGAGUCACCUUGCAGGACACACAGUAGCCACCUUCUUUUUGCCAUUCAACAACAAGAGAAAAGGACAGGUAGCAGGUCUCAAGGAACGAAGACAACCACACGAAGCAACUACACCAACGCCGCCGCAUCGCGAGUGCAAGGACAGGUGCGCGGCAUUGCUGGAUGAUCUCCUGAAGCGCAUCGGUGCGGCACAUUUCGCUCUCACUCCCCUCCCAAAUAAGAACGACAGACACGCUGCGCGCGGACACGGGCGCACAGACGUCAUCUGCGGAGACACCCACAGCAGCAAAAGCGGAGCGAAGACCCAAGCGACGGUGACAAAACAGAGCGCGCACCCAAGGAAAAACACCAGAGUAAUUCGGUGCCGGUCUCCGCCCUUCCCGGUGUGGUUUCACUCCCUUCCCAACGAAAAAGGAAAGAGACAGACGAAAAGGUGACCAAGAAAAACAAACAGAUCUACAGUAGGUAACCUGAAGGCACGCGCAUCUCUAUCCCAGCCGCUGAAUACCCCCAGAAGAAAGCACACACAGGCAGUCGACCGAAAAAAAAAACAAAAAAGAACCUACGGCGCCGCGAAAGUAGCGGAGCAAGCGACCUCUCUCGACGACUGUCGGACGACAGACAAGCCGAAGCAACGCGCAUCAAGCAGAAAAAAAGAGCGACGAAACACACACGUACGCCGCGGCAGAAGUAGUGAAGAAGAGGAGGUACGCGAUCAGUGGAACUCCCGCCCUGGCACACCGGAAGAAAAAGGGAAAAGGCGUACGUGGGCGAGGCGAGCAAAGUUUGAAGGCUCGCUGAUUUCCGCUUGUCACGCAAGUGCACGAAAAGCGAUCAGCAGAGCACCACGAAGCGAGGAGGAAACAGCGAAGAAGGGUCGAAUCAUAACGGUUUCGGAGGCCAGCGAGUUCUGUGCAGCUGUUAGAAAGACUCAGCAUCAGCAGCAAGUACGAAAAAGAGGCGCUCUGUCUUGAUCCGCUUCUCCCUUCUCCCUUCCUGCCACCUCACCAGAUCUCCGUGUGCUUUUGCAAGGACUGAACUCAUUUCUUCCGUGCCGUCUUUCUGACGAGGUUGUCGCGUUUACUUUUUUUAUUUUUGUGGGUUCUUUUUUUUCGGUGGUGGUGUGGUGGCCACCGCCUCUCAGGUUCUUGUUUCCUUCCGCUGUGUUGUUUGACUGUGCUGGGCGACAACAUACGAUCCCCCUCUCCCCAUCCUCCUCCUCCUCCCGCCAAAAAAUGCAAGGAUAACAGCAAGCAGCAAACCGACAAGAAAAAAGAAAUAAGACAAAAUACACAGAGAGACACACACACACACAGGGCACGCACAGCACAAACAAAAACAGAAAGGCACGUAAUCAAGUAAGAAAACGGAAGGGACGAAACAGAAAGCAAUAACAGGACGAGAAAGGCUAAGACGCAAAAAGAAGGGAAAGCAGAGAAGGAAACCAUUGCAUGUGUAGCACACUCGAGCGCUUCUCGUUCUCCCUUGCUCGUCGUCUUCUCCCCCUUCUCUCCGUCGUUUAUCCAUCAGUUCUUUUUGCUUUUUUUCUCACUUGUCUUUUCUGACCCACCCCUUUUACGUUUUGGCUCUCCUUAGUUCCUACCUUCUUUUUUUUUGUUUUGGUUUCGCUUUAUGUGUCAGCGGUAGUUCUGUGCACGCGUGCCUCUUUUGCUCUCCGCCUCCUCUGCACUUCUCCCCUCUCUUCCUUCUCCUGUUUCUUUUUUUUUCCAGCUUCUGUUCAUGCAUUUCUUUGCUUACGUGUUUGUCUGGUUUCUGUACUCAAAACCUUUGUAUUUCUUUUUUUCUUGACCUAGUUUUUCUUGCCCGCCCUCCCCCUUUUUUCAUUUUUUUUUCAGACUUGGUGGUUUGUAUUCUCUCCUCUUCCUCGUCCUUCUCCGCUGCUGUUUGUUCGCUUCCCUCAGUGUUAGCCUUUACGCGUUUUUCGCUUGGUGUCGUAUCCCUGCCUCCACCCCUCUCUCUGGUGUGUGUGCGUGUGUCUAUUCGUCUGGCCGCGUCUCUUGUUGUGUAGUACUCCUGGGUUUCUUCUUGUCCUCCGACUCCAUUGCUUUUAAUCACCCUUGUCCAUUUCUUCCUUCUUUGCGGGUGGUAUUUCGGGAUAUUCUUUCUGCUGCCCCCUCCUCCCUCACUCCCUCCGAUUCUCGUCCUUGGACCUCUGCCGUUAUCUUGAUCUUUCUCGUCUUGUGGUCGUUCUGCAUCUGCCAGCUUCGACCUAUUUUGUCUUUUACACCACUCUUGCCUCAUAACUCAUUCGCUUUUGUGUCUUCGAUCUCUUUAUGGAUUUCGUUUAUUUUUUCUUCUUAUUGGGUUCCACAUCUUUACGUUCUUUCUUACUCGUUUCUUGCCACUUUUUUCUUUCAUUCCCCUCGUCCUCUCGCUGCCCUCCCGCCCUCCACCGAUCUUUCUUUGCCGCUGUAUCUUCUUCGUCUCUUUCGUCUUGCGCCUGUAGUUGACCUGUUUCUCUCGUGCCCUUUCUGCUCACUCUCCUUCUUCUCACGAUAUUACUUGUGAGCCGCCAUUACGCCAGUGGCUCACGACGCCAGUCCACCCACACCACACCAGUGUAGAUAACCUCUGAGGGAAGAAAGAGCAAGAAAGACCAACACCAACAAAAAGGAGCUAUCGAAAACCAAAUACUCACGCACAAACACACACACACACACACAAAGAAAAAGAUAAGGUACACACAGAUACAUAUUCUUGUUUGUUGCCUGUUGCUUUCACUCUUUAUCUGAGCCUUGUGCUCGUGUGGGUGCGUUUGUUUGUGUGCGCGCGCCGUAGUUCUCACAUCCCUCCUCCCCCUCAUCAUCAUCGGAGGAUUUGUCUCUCUCUCAUUCCGUAAUCUCUAUACACACACAUCCUAGUAGUACUCUUACUUUAAAACGACAACAGCAUAUACCGGGUUUGCUUCGCCUUACUCUUUUUUGUUUGUGUCGCCGAGCCCCUCCCCUCACCACAUCAUCACUAUCAUUCUCUUCAGCCCCCUUCCCCCCCCCCCCCCCCACUCUCACUCUUCCGUGGCCGAUCACCUUGCCCUGCCUUGUGCAUACGCUGUGAUUUAUAUAAAACAUUUCAACUCGCGUGCGCAUCUAUUCACGGGUCCAGCACUUCAGCUGUUUCCUUCUUCAAAUCUUGUCUAUUAGGGUUCCGCUUUUUUCGUGUUAUUUUUGUUUUGGUGAGGCCCUUUUUUUCUUGGUCUUUCGCCUGUCCGCUCUGUGCUGGUCGUUCUCCCUUCUUCUCUUACUACCCCGUGUCUCCGCUCGCGUAUAGCCGCAUACUGUAAAGCCCAGCCGGCUUUUGCGCCUCUUUGUUUUCGCCAUUAAAAAAAAAGGUUUCGCGCUCUCCCUCCCUUUCUCGACGCAAUUCUUUAUCGAUUACCUUUUUUUUCCUGUCAAACACAUCACACACACACACACACAAACUUUCUGUCCCUCGUGUGCUUGUGUUUCCGUGUGUUGUGUGUCUUCGGGCACUCCCGGGUCUUGAACUCAACUUGUAUCAGAUUUUCGCACUCUUUUUUUUUCUCUCUCUCUCUCCGUGUGUGCGUUUUGUUUGUCUUCUUGAUUGUCAAUCCAAAGUACUCCCCUCCCCUCCCCUCCCCUCCCCUCCGUUUCUCGUCCGUGCGGAUUUCUUUUGAUUUUUUUUUGUUGUAUGUAUGUUUUUUUUCUUUUGCCGUUUUCGAAUUGCUUUCCUUCCACCCUGUCGCUGAGUGCGUCCCUGCCCCCUCCCCCCUUCUUUUUUCCUUCCCCGCAGCACAAAGGCUUUGCUCUUUGCGGCGUUCCUCACCCUUCUUCAUACGGCAGACAUACCUGCUCCCCUUUUUGCUGUUGCCGUCGUUGUGGCUGCUCUUGCUCUCUGCCUCUGCGCGUCGAAGUGUGAGGCGCAGCACAUCUGUAGCGGUGUGUAUAUACAUAUAUAAAUAUAUAUAGAUCUGUGCAUGUAUGUGCACAUCCUUCGCCUCAGCUCUUGUCUUUCUUGCUCUCGCUCCAGCUCUCUCCCCCUUGCGCUUGCCUUGGCUCUUCUCCUCACCUUCACCGUUUUUUUUUUUACUUCUCUUUCUUCUUUGGGUUGUGCGUUGCUUAUAGGUAUAUCGGUAGAUAUCUAUAUCUUUGCUUCGUUCUUUUCUCUCGAUCACUUGCCCUUCGACUCCCUAUAUUUUAUUGCUUGCAGAUUUCCUUUUUUUUUUUAGGGGGCUUGUGUUUCCUCUUGCGUCCUUUUUUUUUGCUUCGUUUUUGUUGGGUGAUUUACGUUUUUUUUUUUUCCUUUCGCCUUUACUCGUGGAGCUCAUCUCAUUGCCUUCUCCUCUUUGCCGUGGCUGCUGUUGUCGUCACCGGGGGCGUUCCUCUGGCGGCCUUUCUUUUCUGUUUUGUUUGUGUCUUCUGUUGCACCGCGGCGUCGAUCGUGCACAGACGAAAAAAGAAAACGAAUCGGAAGACUAUCCGCCACACACGAACGCGAGGGGGGAAAAAAAGAAAAGGUGUCCAUCCGCGGGAGGACGCACGAUAUCGAUUUCACGCACAAAGGGCAACGAAAAGAGGACAUAACUGAAAGCGGAAGAAAAAGAAACAGAGGUCUGUCCCUCCCCUCUCUCCGCCUUUCACGCUCGUACCCGUUCGUGGGAUUUUUAGGGACAGGAAGGAGUUGCAGGCAUCACCACCCAACACGCAACUGCUGCGCGUGAGGCCAGACGUGCACACAGCAAGGACAACAAGGACAGCAACAGCAACAACAACACUCGCACACACAAGAAAAACCUGCACUUCGCAAUCUCCUUCUCCUUUCUUCUUCGUAAAGGGAAGAGGAAAGUGAGAUUGUGCGCAGACGUGCUUGCCUUUUUGCGUGUUCGCCUCGUUACACGUCUUACUCCCACGCCUGCGGAUAACAAGCCCCAAGGAGCGGCGAUCAUUCACCGGAUUUUUCACAAAGACGAACGCCCCUCUUGGCUGCCGCGUGCUUUCUUGUGAUUGAGCAGCGAGGAAAGCUGAGAGAACCAGCAGCCAUCAACAGCGGGGACUACGCACUGAUACAAAACAAAAAUCAGUAUAACAAACAGUUUCUAGUGUUGUAGCUCGUUUCGGCCUUCAUUUUCUCUUGUUAUUCUCUCUUCCGUUUCUUCCUUCAUCAUCUCCAAUUCUUUUUCUGUGUGCUUUUUUUUUGUUUCGUUGCGUGCAUCGGCUAGCCCACGCCCGCCCUCCCUCGAUACCUGCCUUCCCCCCGACACACACACACACACACACACACACACACGCACACACGCCUCACUAUCACUACUACUACUAAACAUCUCUAUUCUCCGUUCGCUUUUUCGUAUUUAUUUUGUUCUGUUUCACGUGAAUCCUAUCUUCUAUACAAUUUUUUUUAUUCGUUUCCAUUCUACUGUGUACGUUGAUCUGCUCGUCUCUCGUUCUGGCUGCUGUUGUUUGAGCUCUCUCUCACUCACUGUGCUUCCGUUUCUUUCUUUUUUUUUUGGAGGGGCCUCUUUGCGUUCCUAGUGGCUUGUGUUACUCAUUUUUGUUCUUCUCUUGUCGUGGUGGUAGUCUUUCUCUACACUCGUGCGCGCUCCCUCUGCCGCCUCGCGUCGGUGUUGACGUUUAUUCGUGCUGCAUACUUUGUGUGCGCGUGCCUUGUGUUGUUUUUGCUUUGUUUUGUUCAGCAUUCUAAUCUUUUUCGCUUUUUUCUUAUUUUGCUUCACAGAGUAACUCUGUAACGUCCUCUGCACACCUCUCCACCCAUCUUUUUUCUUUUUCUUUUUGCCUGCCUUGUUCUCCCGUGUUGUGUUCCUGUUAGAUCUGCCUCCGACGCAACGAUCUGUCCUUCUCCGUGGAUUCUUCUGCUUGCUGCUUGGCUUUUGCGUUUUGUUUCCCGCGCGACACAAAUUUUUUUUGCCCUUUUUUUUUUGUGUGUCUUUGGUGUUUGUCUCGUGGUCGUUCCUCGCUCCGCGUGCCCGCUUGUGUUUCUUCUUGUGAGUCUGCUCUUUUUUCUAUUUUGCAUCUAUUUUGCUCUUCCUGCACGUCUCUCUGCUUUUCCGUGCCUCUUGCAUGUUUGCCGUGCUCGCGUGCUUUCCUGCUGCGUUUCUUCUCUCCACGCGUCUCUCAGUCCUCCUCCUGCUUUUAGCGGCGCUGUCGUAACGGGCAUCCGUCGCGCCGUUUGGGGCCGCCUUUGCCUUUUUUUUCGUUGCGUCUUGAUCGUCUCCUCCCCACGCGCUUCAGGGCCCACCCCUCAAGUCUUCUUCCUCCCUUCACCGCUCCAACCCUGCUGUAUUCAUCUCUGCCGGCGUUGAAGCUGCGCAAGUGCGUGCAUUUGUGGCGGACAGGACGCCUUCUGCCUGCGUGCCUGAGUGUUUGCACGCGCGUGUGCAUCAGGUGGAGUAGCACGUGGUGAGAGAGGGGUGCGAAGACCGGUUUUGUGCGUGCGUGAGUGGACGUGACGGUGCCCUUUUUGUGACAACGCUGAAGUACUGCGAAUAUAGUCGACUCUACCGACUCGUGUACUCGCUCGAUCCUCCAUUUCUUUCCGUUUCUUUCUUUCCUUUUUUUUUUUUCGCAGCCCCGCCCCGCCCCGCACCCCCGUCCAUCCUUCUCUCGUCACCCGUCAGUCCUUGACUCGUGUGUCUGCACUACUCGACAGGACUUAUUGCUGUUACUCUGCUCGAGAGGGCGGACGAGGCAACGAAGGAAAGUCGCCUACACGCGCAGUGGCACAGCACACACAGUGAAGCGGCAGCAUAAGAGGAGAGGAGAAGAAUAAGAUUCAUUCUUUCCCGCAAAAGGAAGGAAGAUGAGCUACAAGCACAACGGCGGCUACCACCGUGGCCGCCCGUCGGUCGCCACGACUGCUGACAGCAAGCUGAACCUGCUGGUCCGCUUUCUUGACCACGGCGUCGACGACAGUCAGUUCCGCGUCUUCUUUGAGCCGUUUGGCGAAAUCACCUCGUCGAUGGUGAUGCGCGACAUCUUUACUGGAGAGAGCCGCGGCUUUGGCUUUGUGCGCUUCGCCCGCAGCGCAGACGCCGCACGCGCGCUGCGGGAGUGCGAUGGCAAGAGGCUUGGUGGAAAGGCUGUCAACGUGAUAUGGGCGAAACAGCAGCACGACGAUACACCAGCUGGGCAAGAGCGGCUGAAGAUGAACAAGCUGUUCCUGCGCAACGUGCCACUGGGUGUUACGGAGGCUGAGCUGGUCGCGCUUCUUCGCGUGUACGGUACUGUAACGGAGGCCUCGCUGCAUAGCGACAAGAUCCCCGCCGCCCGCCACGCUCCAGCGCGCCGCAUAGCCUUUAUCAUGUUUGCCGACGAGGGGGCAGCCGAGGCUGCGCUGCGUGGCGUCCAUAACACUUGCCCCUUUCCCACAUGCAACGGCAUUCCGCUGAUGGGAAAGCUGUCGGAGGACUACAAGGCAAAGAACGGCGGCAGUGGCAACAGCAGCAGCAACAGCAGUUGCCAAAACUUCAGUGCUCCCAGCCGCGCCCCCGCCAUUCUUUUCACGGACCACGCACACUUGCCUCCCAUGUUGGACUGCGCCUUCUGCACCUUUACAGCGAAGCAGGUAGGCGGUGCCUGCUCCCCGACACCGGCGAGCAGCGUUCACCUCUCCGACUCCGCGGCGGAAGACUCGCUCUUCUCGCCGUCGGCCGUCGUUGCGGGUGGCUCUCAAGCAGACGGAGUCAUCGCCGAACAGGAGGCAAUGGCCCGCUACUCGCCUGCCUUGCGCCUGUCAACUCUUCGCCUGCCGGCUCCGACGUUGCCGAAGGUCUUCCGACACAAUCCGUACGCGGCGUCGCUCAUCGCCCCGAGGAGGAACUCAGGGUAGGCGAGGAGAAGGGCUUCUCCGGAGCUUACGGCGUCUGCCCUUCCGGCGGACGCGCGGCUGCAGAAGCUGCGAGUCGAACAGGGCAACGUGCCGACAUGCAGCAAGACGAUGCCGGCAGUGGUCGUGUUGCCGUUUGUUUUCGUUUGUGUCUCCCUGGAAAUGAAAGCGGAGCUCGCACGGAAGGAGAGCAACCGAAUAAACAGACAGCCUUCCUACAUCAUGCUGCGUCUAGCGCACAGAAGUAGCAACAACAGUGCUGCGAGAGAAGACUAGGGAGGGACAAUGUGUGUGCGGGCAACUGUCUUCUGUCCCAUGCUUCUCCAUGCCACGACAUGACACAGAAGAUGCGCAAGAAGCCCUGGGAAGCCCGACUCCUCAGAGAUGCUCAUGAGAUAGCAUCUCAACCAGGGCUGAGGGGCGUUGUGACGACACCUUCGAGGGAAACAGGAGAAAAAAGUGUCUUGAUACGGCUCCCGCCGGUGGACUCAUUGUACUUGUACUGCCUUUCCUGUAUUCCUGUCUUCUCUUGUUUUUGUGGCGCUUCGCAUAUCGUCUUGCAUGUAUAUAUGUGCAUGUAUGCUGUUGUUUUUCUUUAUGGGUGCAUUCGUGUGCAUGUGUGGAGUGUCAUGUGCUGUCCUUCGGUGUGCCGCUUGUCGUUCUUGCCUGCCUCAAUCUGUCUUUGUGUGCAUUGGCUUCUGCGCUUUUCAUCUUUCCGUGUGACACCACGAAUACCUGCCGUUCCUUCCUCGUUUCGCUUUUUGAUUUUCUGUGUCUGCGCUCUGCGUCUUUCUCCUCGCUGCUGUUCUCCCCACCCCUCCCUCCCUCCCCCUUCUCACAUCUGGGCUUUCAAAACGGACAUGCAACUGCUCCCGCCGCCACUUCGCCCACCACUACGUCUCGAUGCUUUUGCCCCUUCUCGCCUGUGCUCGCCUCUCUCCGUCUUCGUCUUCGUGUGCAUGUGCGUGUGGCCAACGCUCACGUAGCCCUACCGCAGCCUGUCGUUGUCUUGUUCUGUUUUGGCGAUAUCUCUUCCCUCGUCUCGCUCUCCGUGUCCCUUGUUGUGUGUCUCCAUCGCAGACAACCCACUUGGCAUGCUCCUCCGCUCUCGCCGAGUGCCCUGCUCAUGCUUUUCUUUUCCGUCUCCGAAUGUGUUAUUCAAUGUAUAUAUAUAUAUAUAUAGAUAUGUUUUCCAAGAGUGAUGUAUCGACCGCCUCUGCCGGAAAGGGGACCGUCAGGUGCCAGUCCGUCUUUUGUACUCACACGUCAAUACACCCUCCACCACGUGUGCAUAACGCACCGAUCACGUGCACCCUCGCCGACAAGCUCAUAAGAAAAGUGGAGAUGGAGAGGAAGGACGGAGAGAGCGAUCGAGCCGAGCGAGAAGGAUGCCGAGAGAUGACACACAGCGUAUUGUUUGGACUGUAUUUUGUUUUGCUUUCUAAUCACUUGUCGGCGCCUCAUCCGCCUAUUCGGCACGUUUUGUCUCGUUUCUUUCUUUGUUUCGGGGAUGCUGGCAACAGUGCUGGUGUUGCAGGUGGGGGUAAGAAUGCUCAUCAUGGCGAACCAUUGAGGUGUUGGAAAAGUGCUUUUCCUUGAAUGAGCUCUUUUAUGUAUGUCUACAUGUGUACAUGCAUGUAUGUGUGGACGCGGAUGUGCGUAGUGAAUGUGUAUGCAUGUAUAUGUAUAUAUAUGCAUAUAUAGAUGUAUAGGUGUCGGUAUCUUCGUUUUUCUUUCCUCUUCGUUCUUUAGCUUUAUGUGUGCCUUUCGCCUUUGUCUUGUGUAUUUUGUUUCCAUUCAAGUGCAGUUCCCUCUGUCGUUUUAGUUGUCCUUCACUACAUCGACUCUCUCUAUCUUUCCGUUUUUCUUUUCUGUAUUGCUCUCUGCUGCUUCUCUGGCCUCUUUCUUUGCACUCUCUUGUUGAUGGGAAGACGUGGCUGUGCAGUUGCGAAAAUAUCCCGUGACGGACGAAACGCGAAUCUGCCACGCGUACGCUGAGUCACUGAGAGGGCAGAAAAUGAAAACCACAGGUCACUUCUUCCACAUGAAGAAAGGACCGCAUACAGAGACUGAAAGCUGCACAUGCGUGGCCGGCACAUACAUGCCAUCAAUACAGGCAUGCCUACCCAAGGAUUACAUGAAAAAGCGACAUACCUCGCGACUCUCUGCCAUGGUCACGGUCUCGUUCGGUUGUAUUCAAAUCUGCUUUGAAAAAAGCACAUGCACAGGCACGCGGCGGAAGGAACAGCAAUGCAAAGGCCGCGAGAACUAAUAAGAGCAGUGAAACGAAAAUAAAGAGCAUUUUUAUCGGCAACAGGUGGAGACGAUAUACCCACACCCGCCCACACAUUUAUAAACAACACCCUUUUAUUGUUUAGGGAUCUUUUAUUUUUUGGUAUCUGUGUGCUUAUUUUAGUUGCAAUUAUGGCGGCGCACGCUGCGGGGCAUCAUUAGUGAACAUCGACUCUCGUCUUGACUACCUAUUUUUUUUCUCGUUUGAUUCCUCCACGUCAUGCGUGUCCUCUCCUCAUAUGGAGUACUCCUGCAUGACGCCUCAUCUCUCUCUGCCUCUCUCGUGUUUAUGUCUGUAUGUGUGUGUGUGUGUUUUGAACAUCGCUUGUUGUACCCCUUAUGUUACACCUCUCAUGCCCGAUCUGCGCAACCGUCUUCCCAAGUCUACGGACGUCACAACUAUGGACGUCUUCCCUUCGGCCACCUCUUUUAUUUUUAGACCCUCCUCUGCUGCUUUUCUUUUGUUGCGUAUCUUACCUUUACUCUUUGUUUUUCCUUUUCGUUUCGCUGUCGCUAGCACCACCUCUUGUUGCCCGAGUCACUUAUUCGCACUCCUUCCCUCGCUUGAUAGAAAGCGAAUAACAGAGAGUCGCGUAGAGGAACGUGUGUGCGCGUGUGCGUGCAUGCAUGCGUGUGUGUGUGUGCGUUUCUUUUUUUUCCCCCAUCUCUUUGUUUGCUCGACGUACGCGUACGAGAGCACAACAUGUUCAUCGCGUGUAAUCAUCUUAUAUAUUUGGCUGUUCCACUCUCUGUGUUUGUAUUUCUUGCUUUUUUGCUAGUGGCCACUGGCUGUGCCCUCUCCCCUUUUUUUAUUUUGCGCUUUUCUUUUUUUUUUUCGCUUGUUGGUUGCAUUUUCAGUUUUCGUGUCCGUGCGCUCGUCAACAUUGUUUCUCUUCAGUGUCUCUGUCUUUUAGUUUCUUGUGCAGGCUCUUUACUCUUCUGUGCCCCUUUAUUUUUCCGUUUAGGCUACAUUGUCUCUUAUUUUUUUUUCCAUUCUAUCAUUCUAUGUGUGCGUGUGUGUGUCUGCGUGAGCGUCCGUGGAUCCUCUGUUUCUCCUCUUGUGUGCUACUUGGUUUUGUGCGCCACUGCUGUCUUUACAUGUCGAGACACUUCUUCGUCUUUUUUUUUCGUUGCUUUCGAUUCCAGUUUUAUUUUUGUGUUCUCUCUGUGCGUACAAGUGUGUGUUACGUUACGGCGCGUGUCUUUCUUGGUCUCUGUAUGUGUCUGCCAUCUCUCUCUUUUUUUUUUGUUCGGGUCUUUUCUCUUGCUCUCUCCGUCAUUGCUUGGACAUCAUCUUCCGCCUUUUUUUUGUUGGUUAACACCCUGGAUUUCCUUCCUCUUCCCUCCCCGCGGCGCCCUUUAUGGCUCCAUCAAUCUUGUCCGUAUCAGAGAUGUCACAGACAUGCAUCACGAGAGGUGUGUAUGUAUCUCUGUCUCCUUGGAAGGAGGGUCUUUUUAUUUCUAUUUCGUUUCAUGUCCUUGUCUUGGUACGCCUUUCACCCUGCCUUUUUUUGCCCCUUCACCACUUCCUCACCGCCACAUGGGCACACUGACGACAGCUCUCUCUCUAUCCUCCCUCGGUGCUUCUCCUCAUUUAUGCCUCUUCAUUUUCUCUGCCGUCACCUGUACAAUGUUUUUUUUUUUCGUGUCUAGGCGGGGGGACGGGGGAGGGUCUUAUGCACUUCUUUCGCACCUCCGUGCCUCGUGCCACACACCCUCCCUCCUCUCCCUUGUACCUUUUUAUGCCUUCUUACAUUCCGUUUGUGUGUGUAUGCGUGCUUAUUCCGUCCUCUUAUUCUUGCUUGCCGGCCCGUCUUUCUGUCAACCGAGUCGUUUCGUCCCUAGCGCUUGAACACCAGAGUUCGUCCAAGCACCCGAUGUUCUGUGGAGAGAGAGUGAGCAUGCAGCUACCUCCAUCGGUGGGAAACUCCCUCUUUCCAAGAGGAGAAACUUAAAAAUGCAAACACACACGCACACCCACACACUAAUAUACGCUGGUGCGCGAGAGAAGUUUCUGCCUGGGAGUGAGAGGACGGGCUGCAAGAGACGUUCAGUAUACUGCGUCUUCUCUCUCGGCCUUUUCCGCUUCCUUCCUCCUACACCGCCACCCGCCGCCUCAUCCAUUCCUUGCCCGUCUCUCUUUGGGUGUGUGUGUGUGUGCGUUUUUGUUUGUUACGUCUCUUUUCCAUGCAGACGACGUGCUUUUUCUUGUUUAGAUUUAUUUUCUGGGUUUUGCUCCUUCACUCCGUCCCUUCCCACUUGUCUCUUCAUCGCCCUUUUCGAGUGCAUCUGCACACAGGAGGAUCAUAAACAUUCUCAGUCGGCACGAAUAUGGGAGGAUGAAGGGCUGCUCCCCCCCGGUGGAGCAGCUGAAUGGAAGGAGUUGUACGUGAUUCCGGGCUGUGGCACUGGUGGGGAUGUCGAUGGCGAGCGAGUGUCAUUCGCUGGUGAGGUACCAGCGGUGAAAGGACAGGGCAGUGCACGCGCACAAGAUCAACGGAGACCACGUAUGUGUUGCAUCGUGAACCAUUUCCUGCCCUCCUCGUACAUGGAGCGUCACAAUGAAAGAUGCAGAUCAAUCUGCGUCCCUGCAGCUUCACACGCAAGCCUCGUGGGUACAUACUUAUCGCCCCAUUGCCCCUCAACGCUCACGCGUUGAAUGCCCGCAUUCUUUUGCAGGAAUUCCGUCCAACGCGACCUUUCUGGCGAAAGUUUUUUCGUUUUCUUCGUUCGAGUUUGCCUCUAACUCUGUGUCUUUUCCUCCUCGCCUGUCUUGUUGCGCGCUGUCGUCCGCGUCGACUGACCCUCUUCCACCCGCACUUGACAAGAGGGUGACUUUUUCGUUUGUGGCGGCUCUCUCUCCAGUGCUCCCGCGCGGUUUGGUUGUCUUCCUGCUGUUUUUCGCGUUUCUUUUGCACCGCUACCGUCCACCAAAUACUGCCCCUCCCUUCCGCCCCUGCCUCUCCCCAUGAUCCGCCACCCCGGUAGUGCCGCGCUUGUGUACGUGUGCGCAUGCACCCUGCAGCGGUGCUUGAGCAGGCCCUCUUCGCUUCUCUUGAUGUGCACGCGUGCAUGCACUCACUUUCUCUUCGCUUUAUGCUUCCGUUGUUUUUUUUUUUCCUUUGUCCGCGCACAUGUUUCUCCCCCUUCUUACGCGUGUGUGUGCUUUCUCUAUCAGCUGGUGUUGUGGGCGCCACUGCCGUUGUCGUGUGUGUGCGUGUUUCGGGGGUGGUGACGAACUCUCUUGUCGCCCGCGCGCACCUCUGUCGGUGUUUCUUUUUCACCUUUUCCUUUUGUUGCCUGCGUCAUCAUCCUUCUCGCCGCCCUCCCCCUUUCUCUCUUCCUCCCACAACUUGUUUCCGCUUUUCUCUAUCUGCUGCAUUUUUUUUGUUGCGGUACCACUGCCAGCGGUGCCGGCCUCGUUUUUUUUUGUGCCUUUCUCUCGCCCCCGCCUUUAUCGAAGAAAAAGAACAGUAAAACCACGUAGGCAAACACACACACACACACAGACCCUUGCUGGUGCGCAUGCGCUCUUGGCGACCUGAGCGAUGCUUUUCGUCUUCUAUUUCGUUUCUUGCUUCUCUUCUCUGCUGCUCGCCACCACUAUUCUCAGGCUUGAUCGCCAGCCACCAGGCGAGGUGGCGAUACCGCUCACCAGUGGCACAAUGCCAGGACCUAGCGCGCCCGACUUUCGGGAGAACGGAAAGGAGGACAAGAAGGGCCCAGUGCGCCGCUGGAGCGAAGACGACGAAGAAAUAAAACGCCUGAAGCGAUGUCGAAGGAAAAAAAAACAAAAAAAAAGAUGGAGAGGAAGGCAUGCGUGGCACAGAGUGCGAGGGCGUUCAGAACACAACGAAACAGCAGAGAGAAGAAACGGCCAAAAAAAAAACGGAGCGCCGAAAUCAUGUACGCAUCAAAACGUUGGCAAAAGAUGAAAGGAGCAAAAACGCAGAACAACACGAAGUUCUCUGCGUCUGUAGUAGUUGGUGUCUGUGCGUGUCCUCUUCGACCCUGCGCCACGUCCGUAGAUCAUUUCUUUUUUCUUUUGGAUAUGUUUCGAUGUCUUCAUUUUUUCGAAUCCUCUCCUUUCCCUGCGUUGUCGACGCGAUGAGUGCGUCUCUGUCUCGGUGUGUAUGCAUGGGGCGCAUUUAUUCUGCCGACAGGAUUUCUCGUUUGUCCGCACACCCUCGCCUCGUUCACAUCGUUCCUACUCAUUUCGUCGUCUGUGUCUGUGUGUCUGUGUGUGUGGGCGCGUGAUUCUCUGUCAUCCGUGCUUUUUCUUCCUUUUCUAGAUUGGUUUAUUUUUCCGUUUACCAACUCGCAUGCCAUGUACACUAUAAAGGACGACGAGCCGACGGCUUUUAGCGCUUUUGUUCUUCUUUUUCAGCUUCCCCGUUUCGAUCACCUUUCUUUUUUAUUUUCUCCACAUUGACACGGGCAUCUGUCCGUACUUCGGCUUCCGGCAGCGGCAAGAUGACGUGCUGCCAACGACACAGCUAGCGCUGCGGCAGCCACGCACCCGACCGCGGUUGCGAUGAGGGCGUUCUGCCUGGUGUGUGGUGCGCGGUAUGCUACGCAAGAGUCGCGGAUCGCUCAGCGUGGGUGUCGCAACCCACGUCGUUCCUCACACCAUGGCUCUGCACGCAGUGUUGUGACUACGCACAUCUCUCGCGCGCUGCGCGGGCUUCCCGGGCUUCCCGGGCUUCCCGGGUUGUGUGUCUAGGGCUGCCCCCCGCCCCCACCCCCACCCCCUGUACGCCCUCACAAGGACAAGGUGUGAGCUCUCUGUGUGCAGGCGCAUGUCUAUCCGCGGUUCCCUUCCGCUUGGCACGCGCACCCCUGCGAGUGGCGUGCGGGAGCUCAGAGGAAGGCAGAAUGCCCCAUGCCGCCACCGACGCAUAACGGCGGCCCCACCUGUCGCAGCGCAUGCGAGCACGCUAUCCAGAGACGCCCCGUCCAUGGCAUUGACAGAAGCUGCAAGAUGACGGCAGCGAGCCCCCGAGGCAACAGCGCCGUCCUGAAUCAGGCGCCAAUAUGCGAGAAUGCGGGCACCGCGCACACGUGCGGCUAGCCGUAGCUGGCACGGUGUGCCACAUCCCGAGCAAAGCAGGCAGAGGCCAGCAGCGCAAGAGCGAUGACCGAGGAGGGCGCGAAGAGAUCUAUACCGAUCAGCGCCACGGCGCAUGUGUGUGCGAGGCAUGCGGCGCCCCCCCUGAGUCUGACCGCGUAGGCUCAUGAGGCGCAGAUGCCGGAAGCACGACAAGAGCAGUCCGAUAGGCACCAUCGAGUCCUCUGGACUUCCGCGUGAAGAGCCCCCCCCACGCGAGAUGAUGGAGCGCCGCGGCUUGAGGCGACCGGGGGCGAAGCAUGGUAUACAGGCCGUGCACGGGGCUUCGGGGGGGGUUGUAACCUGGGGUUGCGCAACAUCCCCCCUGCACUCAUGCGGCAUGUGCAUGGGCGCCGCCCUGCUACCCGCACAACUGGCGCCACCGGCCUCCGCGCUCAAGCGCAGGACCCUGGACGCGGCCCGCUGUGAAUCAAGGCAUGCUGUCCGCUCGAGUCCCCUCUGACGCUGAUCGCGCCGCAAGCAACGAGAGGAACGGACGAGGAAGGACAGGAGGAACCCGCUCGACGGCCAGGACUUGGCCGCAGUGCAGCACCGGUACAUGAGCUAUGAUUGCUUGCACACAUAUACCGACGUGUUGUCCACUCAAUGGACCCAUGAACGAAGUGUUUUUGCGUUACGAGGUCCAUUGUAUGCGUCUGUGCGCGUGCAUUUUUAGCUUUUUUUUUGCGCUCCGCGGCCCAUCGCAUCCUGCGGAUGAGCCUGUAUCGCACAGGGAGGGAGGGCGCAAGCGAUGCAGCCCCGGCAAGCGAGCACGAAGGACUCAACGCGAACCGACGGUGUUCGACGGCGAGUGCCCUGCCCUUCUCGGUGUUCUUUCGGUUUUUUUUUGCUUCUCACGGGGGGGGCACCGUGUCGUGUAGAUAUCUGUCAUGGUGACCUCGUUCGGGGUAUUUUGGCUGCGUCGGACAGCGUCGAGGUGUUUGGCGGCAGCUUCCUUGUUUCCUUUGUUCUUUGUGACCCUCAUGUCUUAUGCAGGUGCAUCGCCGCAGCUGAUGUGGAGCGGCGAUGCUUUACAGCUUCCGUGUGAGAGAGAGACAGAAGAGACGGAUCGGGGCGGGAGGUGGCGAUGGCUUGCGAGGCAGCCAAGAAUGGCUUCACCGCGGCAAAGGUGUAUUCGGUCUUUCCGCUGCUUUGGGUUCAUCAGCUCGACCUAGCGUGACGGCAAAGGCAGGCGAGAUGACAAACUCGGCAAUCCACGGGUGCGAAGAGGGCUUCUGCGCACGGACGGAAAGAAAAAGGCAAGGGCGCGGGAAGACUUUCUUUUGUGGUCCGUAAACGCGCAUUUUCGUGCCUCUUUGGUACCUUUCGCCUAUCAUCGAGCGCCUCGCGGCGCGCUCUCACUCCCCUGGAUGCGCGGAAACUCCCUCUUUUUCGCUCCUCUUGUCCAGUGUCCACAACACGAUGAGACGUGCGUUUGAGUCUGAAGGCGUGGGUGUGUGCCAGAUGGAACCGUCUAUCUGCACGCAUCGCUCUGUGCAUGUGUUUUUCGCCGCAGAGUCGGUCUGCUAACGCGGCGCUGACUCCUCAGCACCUUCUUCCGUCUCGCCUUCGCUUUUUUCUUUGGUUCCCGUGUGCUGUGUUUUCUUUUCGUUGCUGGGCAUUAAAAUGUGCAUGUUCUUUCAUCUCCCUGACUUCAGGGCCAACCCCCGGCUUUCUCUGCGUGCCUCUUGGUGCGUGCCGGUAUUACUUGCAGGCUCUUCUCCCUUCCCCUUCCCCUUCUGUUGCUGCUGGGAAUGUGCACAAUGCGGCGAGUCUCCUUCUCUCUCUCUGUGUGUGUGUGGGGGGGGCGCGUGUGUGUAUACCCGACGACGCUCACGUGCGGGGCUCUCGUCGCGUGAGGCUGGAGGAGGGCAGCGGCGGACGAGGGGAGAAAAGCUCGAUGCCUCUUCGUCGCGCAUUGUCGCCUUUUUUUUGUUUUCUACGUCUUGCGUGCGUGUGCAUGUGUGCGCUAGUCGUUCACUUCUCCGUUCUACGGAUUUCGUUCUUGGAGGUGUGCGCUGUGGCUUCGGUGUUUUGGUGCUUAGCGGGGGAUGUGCGCAUGCCGCGUUUUUGAUAGCGAUUCCGAUAUGUAGGUGUCGGAGCAUGUGCGCUACACGUUGCAGCCUUUAUGUGGCGCACGUCUGCGCGCAUCAAUGCACAGAAGAACUUCUCUUGCUGUGGCUUCGCCAUCUCUUUCGAACACUGUGUGCCCGUGUUUUAUGGCACUGUCCUCUUGCUAUACUUGUCGCGCCGCCUCUUCAGAUGUUCCCCGUCCGUCUGCGUUGGAUUAGCGCGAUGGGGACGCGCUGGUUAAUGAUUGCUGUCUCCCCUUUUCCUUCGUUUCGCCUUUUUCCGUCACGCUUCUCUCUUCAUUGAUCACUCGGUGUACGACAGAGGCUCCGUGUUGUACACAGCCUUGUCUUUGUGCCUUUUUCUACCAAACCUUACUUCUCCUUUUUCGUUGUUGUUUACAUCGUUUUCUUGGCAGUGUGCUCCUUUUGCGUGUGCGUUGGUGUGCUUUUGUGUGUCAAGACAUGUGCACGCGCAUGGGUCGCCUCUACAGCCUCGUUGUACAUCUAUGUUGGUACUCGCGCAGCGUGCUCGUUUUAUGUUUUCUUGCUUCUUUUUUUGAGUCCUUUCGGCGGGCAGUAAAGGUGAGCGGCCCUGAUGGCAACGCUCUUUCUCUCGUUUUUUUUUGUUUGUUCUUUGGUGGUGUGCCGAUGUGCGUCGAUGCGCCUCUCUGUCCGUGUGUGUGUGUGUGUGUGUGUGAACGUCGGAAAUAUCUCUUUGCUUUUCGUUUUCUUACCCCUUUUCGCGACAGGGCAGCGAGCGUUCAUCUCCCUUAGAGAGGAGAGCGCCGUUAACGCACCCCCCUCUCCUCGAGAGCACCAGAAUGGGAUGAGACGGUGAGGGAAAUGCCCACAGAAGUGCAGAGUAGCGCAUCGACAGGUCUCGUGCUUCGAACAGUGAAAAAAAAAAAGGAUCGAUAGAGAAGCAGCAAACCGCAGAAAAGGAGUCGAAUCGUCGGUCUCUGUACCUCUUUUUGUGUAGGUAUGCGUACGGAGUGGAUCAGGUGAAGUACGAAGAACACACCCAGACACAUACAGCUGCCCUUCUCUCUUCUCCGCGUUCUUUGGUCGUGAGCUUCUUCCAUCUUCAUUUUUUCUUGUCCCUUGUGUGUGCCUCAGCGCUGCGCUGCUCUUUUCUAUCGUGUUUUUUUUUUGCUUUUCCACUCGCAAUGUGCGUCUCUUGCGGUACGGUCGUCCCCGCCCUGCGGAGAACUUCUCGGCGGUCUGUUUUUUUUUUCCGCGCCAUCGAAAUGGGCACAUACUCACACACAAACACACAGAAACAGAUGCGGAGUAGAAACGGAAUGGACGCCGCGCCAGACGUAGAAAAUGACUGCCGCGCGCGCUUUCUUUGACCGCUCCUUCUCCGCCUGUGUCUCCUGUCUGUCUUUUUUUUGUCGGUGUGCGUUCGAUUACGUUAUCAGCUGCACGCCGCUUACACCGAUCUGUGUCGCCUUCUCGCAGCGUACACAAGCAAAUGCACCUCGGAUCAAAACAUCGUCAGAUGGAAAGGGGCAGGAGAAAAGCGUGAGAAAGAGGGAGAGAUGCCACGCGUUACCAAGCCAGCGGCAUUACGCUCAAAGGCAUAAACACCCCCAUAGCCGUUUCAUGAGUGUUUUCGUUGUCCACCUGCCCUCUACUCUGCCUUGUACAUAUGCUGCGCGCUCCUCUUUCUUCUCGCGGUGCUCUUGCAUUGGCGCGGGUGGUGGUAGUGGUGUUGUGCGUGGGCGCGCGCGUCUGCCGCACAAAGUUAUGAUGACCAGAAGAGAGGAAGAGGGCGAGACCGCUCUGCAUGCGGCAGUGCUGCUAUAGUACUCACUCCAGCACGCAGCUCCUGUGCUGGUGCGCGCCGUGAUUGCAGGAGUACACGUGGAGGGAAGGACAACGGCUAGCAGACGUACAUCACUUCUUUUUUCUUUUCUUCGUCGCCGUUGAAUGAGCGGCGCUCCGUUCGCCUCCCGUUCAAGACGCUUAUUCACAGCUUCUCCUGUAUUUGAUCUUGGCCAUUUCUUAUGUUCUUUGUUAAUUUUUUUGUUUCCCCUUUUUUUGUCGCGUCUGUUGUGCUGACGAAGACGCGCUGGCGCAGCGUCUUUGUGUGCGCUUUCUCUUCGUCUCUGCUUUCUCUCACUUCUUACUCUGAUUGGCUUUUCUUUCUCCUCGCUAUAUCAAGAGGACGCGCGCGCUGCAAGGGCGCGCGCAGCUACGCGAGGCACGGUGAAUAGAUGCUACCCAGGUUCUCUGCAGGGGUGACCGUCAUCGUGCGAGUGGGUGAGAUGGAAUCUUGUAGCCGUGAAAGGCUGGCAGCGAAGGUUGCCGACACGAAGCCAAAACACGGACACUGGCGAGCCCUCGUUGGCGUUGUUCCCUGCCAGGAAAGAGGAAUGCCGUGCGAUUGGAGCUCAUCACCAUUCAGCUUCAGCUUUCGUGCCCACAUCCUUCUUACGCACGUUCCCCCCUUCUUUACUCCUCUCCUCCUCCGCACCGCUGUGGGGAAGGCACAGAGCGAAACGGGGAGGCCAAAGGAUCCGGUGUUUCUUGUGUACGCGCUUUUGUAUGCGCGUGCCGCUGCGCAGCAUGCCCAGCGCCCUGACCUCUCUGCCCCAGCGGGCUCUCUUACUAGUGCGUGUCUGUAUUCUGUUUCGGUGGGGUGAUGAAGGGCCUGCCGUCUCGCCUCCUUUUUUUUUUCAUGUCGUGCCUCCUUUUUGCUUCAAAGCUCUCCUUCAUUGCUUGCGUGUGCUUUCGUGACGCCACCCCUCCUCCUCGCUUGCACGUGCUUCUCUUCUCGCCACCGCCAUCCCCCCCCCUCCUCUACCCGUUGCCACUCCAUCUGUCUCCAUCGUCCUUGCAUUUUUUUUUUCGAACCCCCAGCGGCGAAUGUCCUUCUCCUUUCUUCCAUUCUCCCCACACGCUCUGAGUGUGCAUUUUAGGGGGUGCAUGCGCCCCCUCCCAAACACAACAGCAAGCACGGGAAGCAGCUAAUGGACUGGAGAGAGGCGGGAGGCGGCGGGCGACGUAAGGGGCGAUGCGCGCCAGGCACUCUUCGUCUUCUCUGUCACAAAUUUUCCUUAUUCUGUUUCUCUUCCAGUUUCCUUCAUUCCGCUCCUUUUCACCCCUUCCCCUGCUGUGUUUUAGUUUUGGCGUCGUGUUGCUGCUGAGACGGUGGUAUUGUGCAUGUGUGUGCUAGCUUUUUGUUCCUAUUUACAUUAUUCGUCUUCGCACCCUUUCCAAUAAGUGCACGAGGUGCGCGCCAAUGAGCUCUUUGCCCCGCCCCCAUCAAGCUUGUCUCUUCCCCGCACCAUCCGCGUGCAUAGCAAAUGGACGCAUCUUUUUUUUUUUCUUUCGGCUCCGCGCUGCUACCUUCCUGUGGCUCCGUUACUCUGUCACUCUCGCCAGGGUCUGUGUUUUGCGGCGUACGCUUGCCGUAUCUCUGUGUAUGCACGUGUGCGUGCAUUCGCGGGUGCGCGCGUCACUGCUGAUUGGCAUCCGUGUGCGGAUGAGUACGCGUGGGAGUGCUUGACAACGGUGGAAACGACAACGCGACGAGGGCUCGAAGCGAAGAGUUCUUGCUGCACACGUAGGCAGUGCUUCAUGGAAAAGGGGUAACGUGGCGUGUGCGCAUCUCUGCAUGACCGUAUGGGCUACCUGCCAACGUACCUACACACAAGAGCUCACACGCACUCAUUCGUAGCACUCUGACCCUCUUCCUUGCUUGCCCUACGAAAGCUCUUGGUACACCACCGUUCUUGCCUCCAGCGUCUUUCCUUCCACGAAAUUUUUCAAUGACAGCAGCAGCAGCAGCAGCGAAAAAAAAAGGACGACACAACCUUGUUUUUGUUUCUUGAGCUCUUCUUUCCUCUUCCUUUUGUGGGCCUGUGCUCUUUACCUUGUUUCGUGUUGUUGUCUUUGUCUGUAGCCACCUGGCCUUGCCUUCCUCUCCUCUCCUGUAAGUCUUCUGAUCUCCUGUAUGGCUCCCUUGUUUUCUUUUUGCCUCACCCUCACCCUCUCCUCGUUUAUAAUUUUGCGUCUAUUUGUGUUUUCGUGCUUCGCCUUUGCCCCUCUCGACUCCUCCUCUCUCGCUCUUCAUGAUGUGUGACUUACGUGGGACGGCUCUGCACCGCCGCUCUCUUCUUUUUUCCUCGUUUUGAUCUUUCCUCAUCCUUUUUUUUGUUGUUUUGGCCCUCUCUCGUUGGACAAGUCCUCUCCACCGCCACCGCCACUACACACGUGCCUACUCGCCCCCUCCACCCCUCCCCCCCCCACACACACAAACAAAAACAAAAAUGAAGAUAAUAAACGUAAAACACACACACACACACACACAAAAGGAAAAAAAAAACAGAAAAGUCAAGAAAGAAAAGGACGGCAAAACAAACAAAAAUACUUCUACGGACGUCUUUUUUUUGGACCCUGACAUCAUCUAUCGCACCCUCUUCUCUUCCCCUCUGCCUUACCCCUCUCCACCUCUUUCUCUCUCCCUCCGGGCCUUCCCUCCACAUCUUGUGCGGUGCCGUUUAUUUUCUCGCCUCUUGUCGGUUUGCUGUGACAUGUCCUCUACUUUCCAUGAUCGCAUGCGCUAUUUCUCUUGAGGCGUACUCGACGAAAACUCAG
RNAcentral lists this unclassified non-coding RNA (21909 nucleotides) under Leishmania donovani. RNAcentral's name for it is "gene:LdHU3.18.0210(CDS-product:RNA_recognition_mo tif._(a.k.a._RRM_RBD_or_RNP_domain)/RNA_recognition_motif_( a.k.a._RRM_RBD_or_RNP_domain)_putative)". Lineage: Eukaryota; Euglenozoa; Kinetoplastea; Trypanosomatida; Trypanosomatidae. The record is from RNAcentral.